GACGAACGCUGGCGGCGUGCCUAAUACAUGCAAGUAGAACGCUGAAGCUUGGUGCUUGCACCGAGCGGAUGAGUUGCUAACGGGUGAGUAACGCGUAGGUAACCUGCCUGGUAGCGGGGGAUAACUAUUGGAAACGAUAGCUAAUACCGCAUAAGAGUAGAUGUUGCAUGACAUUUGCUUAAAAGGUGCAAUUGCAUCACUACCAGAUGGACCUGCGUUGUAUUAGCUAGUUGGUGAGGUAACGGCUCACCAAGGCAACGAUACAUAGCCGACCUGAGAGGGUGAUCGGCCACACUGGGACUGAGACACGGCCCAGACUCCUACGGGAGGCAGCAGUAGGGAAUCUUCGACAAUGGACGGAAGUCUGACCGAGCAACGCCGCGUGAGUGAAGAAGGUUUUCGGAUCGUAAAGCUCUGUUGUAAGGGAAGAACGAGUGUGAGAGUGGAAAGUUCAGACUGGGACGGUAUCUUACCAGAAAGGGACGGCUACCUACGU
This 496-nucleotide ribosomal RNA is filed under the name uncultured bacterium. Its description in RNAcentral is "partial 16S ribosomal RNA". It matches the Rfam family "Bacterial small subunit ribosomal RNA", at positions 28 to 506 of the family's 1533-position model. The record is from RNAcentral.